UGACCAUUAACUCAGUUGGUAGAGUAUCUGACUGUUAAUCAGAAAGUCACAGGUUCAAGUCCUGUAUGGUCAG
RNAcentral lists this transfer RNA (73 nucleotides) under Vagococcus fluvialis. RNAcentral describes it as "tRNA-Asn". It matches the Rfam family "tRNA". Rfam says of the family: Transfer RNA (tRNA) molecules are approximately 80 nucleotides in length. Their secondary structure includes four short double-helical elements and three loops (D, anti-codon, and T loops). The record is from RNAcentral. Lineage: Bacteria; Bacillati; Bacillota; Bacilli; Lactobacillales; Enterococcaceae.